UACGGGGGGAGCAAGCGUUGUUCGGAUUUACUGGGCGUAAAGGGCGCGUAGGCGGCCUGUGCAAGUCAGUUGUGAAAUCUCCGGGCUUAACUCGGAAAGGUCAACUGAUACUGCUCGGCUAGAGUGCAGAAGGGGCAACUGGAAUUCUUGGUGUAGCGGUGAAAUGCGUAGAUAUCAAGAGGAACACCUGCGGCGAAGGCGGGUUGCUGGGCUGACACUGACGCUGAAGCGCGAAAGCUAGGGGAGCGAACGGG
This 254-nucleotide ribosomal RNA is filed under the name uncultured bacterium. RNAcentral's name for it is "partial 16S ribosomal RNA". It matches the Rfam family "Bacterial small subunit ribosomal RNA", at positions 524 to 776 of the family's 1533-position model. The record is from RNAcentral.